GUCGAGCGGAGAUGAGGUGCUUGCACCUUAUCUUAGCGGCGGACGGGUGAGUAAUGCUUAGGAAUCUGCCUAUUAGUGGGGGACAACAUUCCGAAAGGAAUGCUAAUACCGCAUACGUCCUACGGGAGAAAGCAGGGGAUCUUCGGACCUUGCGCUAAUAGAUGAGCCUAAGUCGGAUUAGCUAGUUGGUGGGGUAAAGGCCUACCAAGGCGACGAUCUGUAGCGGGUCUGAGAGGAUGAUCCGCCACACUGGGACUGAGACACGGCCCAGACUCCUACGGGAGGCAGCAGUGGGGAAUAUUGGACAAUGGGGGGAACCCUGAUCCAGCCAUGCCGCGUGUGUGAAGAAGGCCUUAUGGUUGUAAAGCACUUUAAGCGAGGAGGAGGCUACUGAGACUAAUACUCUUGGAUAGUGGACGUUACUCGCAGAAUAAGCACCGGCUAACUCUGUGCCAGCAGCCGCGGUAAUACAGAGGGUGCGAGCGUUAAUCGGAUUUACUGGGCGUAAAGCGUGCGUAGGCGGCUUUUUAAGUCGGAUGUGAAAUCCCCGAGCUUAACUUGGGAAUUGCAUUCGAUACUGGGAAGCUAGAGUAUGGGAGAGGAUGGUAGAAUUCCAGGUGUAGCGGUGAAAUGCGUAGAGAUCUGGAGGAAUACCGAUGGCGAAGGCAGCCAUCUGGCCUAAUACUGACGCUGAGGUACGAAAGCAUGGGGAGCAAACAGGAUUAGAUACCCUGGUAGUCCAUGCCGUAAACGAUGUCUACUAGCCGUUGGGGCCUUUGAGCUUUAGUGGCGCAGCUAACGCGAUAAGUAGACCGGCUGGGGUGUACGGUCGCAAGACUAAAACUCAAAUGAAUUGACGGGGGCCCGCACAAGCGGUGGAGCAUGUGGUUUAAUUCGAUGCAACGCGAAGAACCUUACCUGGCUUGACAUACUA
RNAcentral lists this ribosomal RNA (934 nucleotides) under uncultured Acinetobacter sp. RNAcentral's name for it is "bacterial SSU rRNA". It matches the Rfam family "Bacterial small subunit ribosomal RNA", at positions 61 to 991 of the family's 1533-position model. Lineage: Bacteria; Pseudomonadati; Pseudomonadota; Gammaproteobacteria; Moraxellales; Moraxellaceae. The record is from RNAcentral.